CUAUCUGCAGUCGAGCGACUGAUUAGAAGCUUGCUUCUAUGACGUUAGCGGCGGACGGGUGAGUAACACGUGGGCAACCUGCCUGUAAGACUGGGAUAACUUCGGGAAACCGAAGCUAAUACCGGAUAGGAUCUUCUCCUUCAUGGGAGAUGAUUGAAAGAUGGUUUCGGCUAUCACUUACAGAUGGGCCCGCGGUGCAUUAGCUAGUUGGUGAGGUAACGGCUCACCAAGGCAACGAUGCAUAGCCGACCUGAGAGGGUGAUCGGCCACACUGGGACUGAGACACGGCCCAGACUCCUACGGGAGGCAGCAGUAGGGAAUCUUCCGCAAUGGACGAAAGUCUGACGGAGCAACGCCGCGUGAGUGAUGAAGGCUUUCGGGUCGUAAAACUCUGUUGUUAGGGAAGAACAAGUACGAGAGUAACUGCUCGUACCUUGACGGUACCUAACCAGAAAGCCACGGCUAACUACGUGCCAGCAGCCGCGGUAAUACGUAGGUGGCAAGCGUUAUCCGGAAUUAUUGGGCGUAAAGCGCGCGCAGGCGGUUUCUUAAGUCUGAUGUGAAAGCCCACGGCUCAACCGUGGAGGGUCAUUGGAAACUGGGGAACUUGAGUGCAGAAGAGAAAAGCGGAAUUCCACGUGUAGCGGUGAAAUGCGUAGAGAUGUGGAGGAACACCAGUGGCGAAGGCGGCUUUUUGGUCUGUAACUGACGCUGANGCGCGAAAGCGUGGGGAGCAAACAGGAUUAAAUACCCUGGUAGUCCACGCCGUAAACGAUGAGUGCUAAGUGUUAGAGGGUUUCCGCCCUUUAGUGCUGCAGCUAACGCAUUAGCACUCCGCCUGGGGAGUACG
Molecule: ribosomal RNA, 850 nt
Filed under: uncultured bacterium
Lineage: Bacteria
Description: bacterial SSU rRNA
Rfam family: Bacterial small subunit ribosomal RNA
Source: RNAcentral